Molecule: ribosomal RNA, 751 nt
Filed under: Dolosigranulum pigrum
Lineage: Bacteria; Bacillati; Bacillota; Bacilli; Lactobacillales; Carnobacteriaceae
Description: bacterial LSU rRNA
Rfam family: Bacterial large subunit ribosomal RNA
Source: RNAcentral
GGCGUAGGCGAUGGUCAACAGGUUGAUAUUCCUGUACCAGUUUCUUUUGUUUGACCGAUGGAGGGACGCAGCAGGCUAAGAUAUGCCCACUGAUGGAUGUGGGUGCAAAUAAUAAGUCUGGCGAUGAGUCAAAUGCUUAUCGCUAAGGACAAGUUAUGACGCGGAGGGAAGUACAGUACCGAAGUAUCUGACGUCACACUGCCAAGAAAAGCUUCUAGGGAGAAAGCAACUGCCCGUACCGCAAACCGACACAGGUAGUCGAGAUGAGAAUUCUAAGGUGAGCGAGCGAACUCUCGUUAAGGAACUCGGCAAAAUGACCCCGUAACUUAGGGAGAAGGGGUGCUAACGCAAGUUAGCCGCAGUGAAUAGGCCCAGGCGACUGUUUACCAAAAACACAGGUCUCUGCUAAUUCGAAAGAAGAUGUAUAGGGGCUGACACCUGCCCGGUGCUGGAAGGUUAAGAGGACAAGUUAGCGUAUGCGAAGCUUUGAAUUGAAGCCCCAGUAAACGGCGGCCGUAACUAUAACGGUCCUAAGGUAGCGAAAUUCCUUGUCGGGUAAGUUCCGACCCGCACGAAAGGUGUAACGAUCUGGGCACUGUCUCAACGAGAGACUCGGUGAAAUUAUAGUACCUGUGAAGAUGCAGGUUACCCGCGACAGGACGAAAAGACCCCAUGGAGCUUUACUGUAGCUUGAUAUUGAGUGUCUGUACGGUUUGUACAGGAUAGGUAGGAGCCAUUGAACUCUGGACGC